Long non-coding RNA from Peromyscus californicus insignis, 1853 nucleotides. RefSeq lists it as uncharacterized. The transcript has 2 exons. The record is from RefSeq and is a predicted model, not a curated record. Lineage: Eukaryota; Metazoa; Chordata; Mammalia; Rodentia; Cricetidae.
GAUUUUGCUCUGUAGACCAGGCUGGCCUCGAACUCACAGAGACUCACCUGGCUCUGCCUCCCGAGUGCUGGGAUUAAAGGCGUGCGCCACCACCGCCUGGCAAAAAAGGGCUGUUUGUAGUCAUCUACUUCCCUACUGCUUGUGACACGUGAAUGUCCAUGUCAUCAUCCUCUGGCACAAAUAUCAUGAUCCAUGGCCUGUCAAUAACAUCUGCAUGUUGGAGACCUCCUUAGGGACGUUUCCAAGUGUUCCCAUCCUUGAACAUAAAUAGCACGAAGAUCAGAAAUCCGAUUUUCGAAUGCCAUUCAUCAUCAGUGGUCAGGUUCAUGGCCACUGCCUAGGCAAGGGCAAGACCACUUCUGCGUUAAAGAGGAAAUCAUUUUACAAUCUAAAGACCUGACUAAGACCAAGAGGUGAGAAGAAACAAGAUGCAACUGAAGACAAGAUAAGUAUACGUCCUCCCAAUUCCCUUCUCCCCCAGGAGUGGCUUACAGACACUCAAGGCUAAGCCCGCUUCAAAUUCAGAAAGUGGAAUUUUGACUCAUGCCUCUUUGCAUUUCCAAACCCCCAACCUGCUUGCCCUGAUAUUCAGUCCACUCUUCUCUCUGCAGCCCCUUCCUGAUGCAGCUGCUCACACCCUCCCUUAUUGAGCCUUCUUGUUUUUCUUGACUUCUAACUCAGAACACAGCAGGAUGGUCUUCCUUCCUCCUCUUUCUUUGUCCCUCCCUGGUAGCUAGCAAGUUCUCUAGCUUGGCUUUCCUAUUUUUCUCUCUUGUCAACUCCAAUACAUUGUUCUCAAGUUGCUUUUUGUGUCUGUGUGUAAAUUUUCUUAUCUAUGGGGCCAAGAACUUCCAAAAAGGGACCCCAAGUUUCCCAAUGACUUCCUGUGAUGGUUUGAAUGAGAAUGGCCCCCUGUAGGCUCAUGUAUUUGAAUGCUUUGUUAUCGGGAGAGUGGCACUUGAGAAGGAUUAGGAGAUGUGGCCUUGUUGGAGGAAGUAUGUUGCUGGGGUGGGGGGCGGAGAGGGGGGUUGAGGUUUCAAAAGCCAAAGCCAGGCCCAGUAUCCUUCUCUCUUCCUGCUGCCUGCUGACCCAGAUGUAGAACUCCUAGCUGCUCCACCAGCACCAUGUCAGCCUGUGUGCAGCCAUGCUCCCUGCCAUGAGAAUGAACUAAACCUCUGAAACCGUAAACAAGCCCCAGUUAACUGCUUUCUCUUACAGGAGUCGCCAUGGUCAUCGGGUCUCCUCACAGCAAUUGAACCCUGUGUUUGGUUUAGUUUAAAAGACAUAGCCGUGUUGUCUUCUGUGAGAGAUGGAUCCCACGGGGACCAACUUGCGCUGCUUACUCUCCUGGGGGUGAGGACACCCACUGGAGUCUGGAGACCUACCAGUGGCCCUACUCUUUAAGAAAACUAACUCUCCUUCCCCGUGUGUGUGUGUAUUUAUGAAACAGGAAGUUUCCAUACAUGGCUUUUUCAAACAUUCUUAGGGUGAGCUAUCCUUCUCUCCAUCCUCCCCUGCCUGCCCCGACCUCAUCUCCCUACCUAAUCUUUCCUCCCUAUUAUUCUCCCUUUCCCCUCCAUAUUACCUGUAUUUUAUCCCCUCUCCCUUAAGAUCUUUCUUCCUCCUCCUCCUCACCAGUGGUCCCUUUCUAGUUCCCUAAAUCUACAGGUACUCAAGUUAAACACACAAAUCUACAGAUUUGAUGCUGAGAUCCACAUAUGAGUGAGAACAUGUGACAUUUGUCUUUUGGGGUUUGGGUUACCUCAUGUUCAUGUUCAGUAUGUUUUCAAGUUCCAGCCAUUGAUCUGAAAAUUCAUUUUUAUUUACAGCUGAAUAAAAUUCCAUUGUGUAUA